This is a long non-coding RNA of Serinus canaria (Common canary), 923 nucleotides long. RefSeq lists it as uncharacterized. The transcript is spliced from 2 exons. The record is from RefSeq and is a predicted model, not a curated record. Lineage: Eukaryota; Metazoa; Chordata; Aves; Passeriformes; Fringillidae.
CCAACGAAUACCGGCACCUCCGGCUGACCGGCUCCCCGCCGAGCCGCCUGCCCAGCAGCGCUUCGGUCACGACUUUAAUGAACCAUUUUUGCUUCGGGAGGAGCCGGUUACGGCCCCGAGAGGGUGCGAGCCGGGCUGAGGAGCCCUCUUGCCUCCUCGGCGACGCUAAUGAAACCCAGCGUCCUUUGAGACACGGAAGAAGCCUGUUAGAAUCAUCGGACAAUAUACCUGACUAAUGGGAUUUCUUUAUUGCUUCUCCAGGUCGGCUGCUUGCUGGACUGGCCGGAGUGACAGCAGCUGGGAGUCGGCAGAGAGGUGCGCUCAGAGGGAUGGGGUCCCUGCCGACGGCAGGGGUGGAAUGACAUGAUCUCUGAUGUCCCUUCCAGCCCGAACCAUUCCGAGAUUCUCUGAUUCCGUUUGAAAAGCGAGGGUAAAGGCCACCGGCCGUCAGCGACAGCCCUUCCAAAUGUGCUCGAUAAUAUCCCAGUGCAUUUAGAAGCAGGGCUGGGGCUCCCCCUGACUAGCACCGAUAAACCUUGGUGGCCCAUGAGUGACCAUAAGGAAAUCACAGCAGGCCUCACCUGCACACAGGUUUCGUGGUGAUGGAUAAUUUUGGACAGUGCAGCAUAAUAAUUUCAUUUUCUAAUUACAUUUCCCAGCUGUGAAGAGCCCGUGUGGUGCUGCUGGGCUGCGAUGGGCAAUACCCGCAGAGUUGGCUCAGCCCAGGCGCUCGGAGAUGCCCAGCAGGAGCUCCGGGGAAGAUCUGGAUGAAUUCGUUCCAUGCUGUAACUUCUCCUCAGAGCCCUGCUCUGCCUGUGGGAAUGAUCUCACUCGGCAGCACCCAAAGCUGCUGAAAAAACUGCGAGGGUGAUUUGCCAGUGCAAUGUAAUUCUGGGGCCAGUAAAUGAUAUUUGUAGCUAAUA